RNAcentral lists this ribosomal RNA (293 nucleotides) under uncultured bacterium. RNAcentral's name for it is "partial 16S ribosomal RNA". It matches the Rfam family "Bacterial small subunit ribosomal RNA", at positions 373 to 659 of the family's 1533-position model. The record is from RNAcentral.
GGACGCAGCCUGAUCCAGCCAUGCCGCGUGAGCGAUGAAGGCCUUCGGGUUGUAAAGCGCUUUUGGCAGGAAAGAAACGGCAUGGGUUAAUACCCCGUGAAAAUGACGGUACCUGAAGAAUAAGCACCGGCUAACUACGUGCCAGCAGCCGCGGUAAUACGUAGGGUGCAAGCGUUAAUCGGAAUUACUGGGCGUAAAGCGUGCGCAGGCGGUUCGGUAAGAAAGAUGUGAAAUCCCCGGGCUUAACCUUGGAACUGCAUUUUUGACUACCGGGCUGGAGUUUGGCAGAGGGA